RNAcentral lists this long non-coding RNA (221 nucleotides) under Lathyrus oleraceus (garden pea). RNAcentral's name for it is "Pisum sativum (pea) long non-coding RNA (PSAT_LNC033548)". The record is from RNAcentral. Lineage: Eukaryota; Viridiplantae; Streptophyta; Magnoliopsida; Fabales; Fabaceae.
AUUCCAAAAAAAACGCCUGAAGCAGAAAUCGAAGUGAGGUACGCGGAUCUAACAAGCCUGGGCGCGCGUUACAUCAAGGCUAGCGAAAAUCCAGAUUAUGAUGAAGAUCUUCAUCUUCUUCAUGAAGAUGAAGAUGAAGAUGAUGAGCAUUCAUGCGCAAUUUUCCGGAAUUUCCAGAAACGUCCAGAAUUUUACAAAUUAUAUAUCGUUGGAAAGCUCUU